Molecule: ribosomal RNA, 253 nt
Filed under: uncultured bacterium
Lineage: Bacteria
Description: partial 16S ribosomal RNA
Rfam family: Bacterial small subunit ribosomal RNA
Source: RNAcentral
UACAGGGGGGGCAAGCGUUGUUCGGAAUUACUGGGCGUAAAGGGCGCGUAGGCGGCCUACUAAGUCAGACGUGAAAUCCCCAGGCUUAACUUGGGAACUGCGUCUGAUACUGGAAGGCUUGAGUGCGGGAGAGGGAUGUGGAAUUCCAGGUGUAGCGGUGAAAUGCGUAGAUAUCUGGAGGAACACCGGUGGCGAAGGCGGCAUCCUGGACCGACACUGACGCUGAGGCGCGAAAGCUAGGGGAGCAAACGGG